Domibacillus antri is the source of this 41-nucleotide non-coding RNA. The record is from Rfam. Lineage: Bacteria; Bacillati; Bacillota; Bacilli; Caryophanales; Bacillaceae.
ACAAUGUUCCGCUGCCGCUUAUUUGCGGGUAUGAGCAUUUG